UCCUACGGGAGGCAGCAGUGGGGAAUUUCCGCAAUGGGCGAAAGCCUGACGGAGCAAUACCGCGUGAGGGAUGACGGCCUAUGGGUUGUAAACCUCUUUUUUCAGGGAGGAAUCAAUGACGUGUACCUGAAGAAUAAGCAUCGGCUAACUCCGUACCAGCAGCCGCGGUAA
RNAcentral lists this ribosomal RNA (171 nucleotides) under uncultured bacterium. RNAcentral's name for it is "partial 16S ribosomal RNA". It matches the Rfam family "Bacterial small subunit ribosomal RNA", at positions 337 to 523 of the family's 1533-position model. The record is from RNAcentral.